RNAcentral lists this ribosomal RNA (773 nucleotides) under uncultured Neocallimastigales. RNAcentral's name for it is "partial large subunit ribosomal RNA". It matches the Rfam family "Eukaryotic large subunit ribosomal RNA", at positions 18 to 643 of the family's 3401-position model. The record is from RNAcentral. Lineage: Eukaryota; Fungi; Neocallimastigomycota; Neocallimastigomycetes; Neocallimastigales.
CAGACGAUGCGUCAUGCAUAUCAAUAAGCGGAGGAAAAGAAACUAACAAGGAUUCCCCUAGUAACGGCGAGUGAAGCGGGAAGAGCUCAAAUUUGAAAUCUUAAAGGGUUUCCCUUUACGAAUUGUAGUUUAAAGAAGUGUUUUCUGUUGAGGUUUUGGUAAAAGUUCUUUGGAAUAGGACAUCAUAGAGGGUGAGAAUCCCGUAUUUGACCUUUACUUUCAACUUUGUGAUACACUUUCAAAGAGUCGGAUUGUUUGGGAAUGCAGUCCAAAAUGGGUGGUAAAUUUCAUCUAAAGCUAAAUAUUGGCGAGAGACCGAUAGCGAACAAGUACCGUGAGGGAAAGAUGAAAAGAACUUUGAAAAGAGAGUUAAACAGUACGUGAAAUUGUCAAAAGGGAAGCGUUUGACACCAGUGUUGUUUUUCUGAAAAUCAAUUAAAGAACUGUUUAUGCUAAGCUGUUUAGGCUUUAUCAGCUAUCUGUUUAGUUUUGAGCUUUUCUUUAAUGCACUUUUCAGUUAACAAGUCAACAUCAAUUUCUUUUGCUGUAAAAAAGCUUGAGGAAGGUGGCUUGAGAUUCGUCUUAAGUGUUUAUAGCCUCUUGCCUAUGCAGUCGGAGAGAUUGAGGUCUGCAGCGUAGAUCCUUCGGGGCUAAAUGCAUUUGUGCUAAGUUAUAGCAUUUUAUAGACAACUUGUUGACUAUGAUUUGUCUUGUAGCUUACUCGCUUAUGUUAUUUUACCUACGCUUAGGAUGUUGACACACGCGCGUGCUCG